GAUGAAGAACGUAGUGAAAUGCGAUAAGUAAUGUGAAUUGCAGAAUUCAGUGAAUCAUCGAAUCUUUGAACGCACAUUGCGCCCUUUGGCAUUCCGAAGGGCACACCUGUCCGAGCGCCGUCGCACAACUGAGGCGCAGCCUUGCGUUGGCGGGCGACUUGUGAGUAGCGAGUCGCCGCCCAAACGAGACGGCGCCGCGCCGCGGCCGACGAAGCACGAAAGCGGAAGUCGACGCGGAGGCGGUUGCCUGUAGGAAGACACAGCUUGGCCUCGGAUCAGGUGGGGAUACCCGCUGAACUUAAGCAUAUCAAUAAGCGGAGGA
This 322-nucleotide unclassified non-coding RNA is filed under the name soil metagenome. RNAcentral describes it as "partial contains 5.8S ribosomal RNA, internal transcribed spacer 2, and large subunit ribosomal RNA". The stretch from base 1 to 120 matches the Rfam family "5.8S ribosomal RNA", at positions 35 to 154 of the family's 154-position model. The record is from RNAcentral.